RNAcentral lists this ribosomal RNA (774 nucleotides) under uncultured Neocallimastigales. Its description in RNAcentral is "partial large subunit ribosomal RNA". It matches the Rfam family "Eukaryotic large subunit ribosomal RNA", at positions 23 to 645 of the family's 3401-position model. Lineage: Eukaryota; Fungi; Neocallimastigomycota; Neocallimastigomycetes; Neocallimastigales. The record is from RNAcentral.
AUAGAGACUCAGAGCUGCAUAUCAAUAAGCGGAGGAAAAGAAACUAACAAGGAUUCCCCUAGUAACGGCGAGUGAAGCGGGAAGAGCUCAAACUUGAAAUCUUAAAGGGUUUCCCUUUACGAAUUGUAGUUUAAAGAAGUGUUUUCUGUUGGAGUUUCGGUAAAAGUUCUUUGGAAUAGGACAUCAUAGAGGGUGAGAAUCCCGUAUUUGACCGUUACUUUCCAGCUGUGUGAUACACUUUCAAAGAGUCGGAUUGUUUGGGAAUGCAGUCUAAAAUGGGUGGUAAAUUUCAUCUAAAGCUAAAUAUUGGCGAGAGACCGAUAGCGAACAAGUACCGUGAGGGAAAGAUGAAAAGAACUUUGAAAAGAGAGUUAAACAGUACGUGAAAUUGUCAAAAGGGAAGCGUUUGACACCAGUGUUGUUUUCUCGAAAAUCAAUUAAAAAAGGUUGGAUUUUGUGUUGUAUUGACCUUAACAGCUUGCUUCACUCUUUUCCAGCUUUUUUAAUGCACUUUUCGUUUAACAAGUCAACAUCAAUUUCUUUUGUUGUAAAAGAGUCAUUGGAAGGUGGCUUUCAUUUCGGUGAAAGUGUUUAUAGCCUUUGGCUUCUGCAAUCGGAGAGAUUGAGGUCUGCAGCGUAGAUCCUUCGGGGUUAGAUACACUUGUGCUAAGUUAUAGCUUUUCAUAGACAACUUGUUGACUAUGUUUAGUCUUGUAGCUUACUCGCUUGUGCUAUUUUACCUACGCUUAGGAUGUUGAAGUCAUCGUAUCGCGC